Molecule: ribosomal RNA, 550 nt
Filed under: Candida tropicalis
Lineage: Eukaryota; Fungi; Ascomycota; Pichiomycetes; Serinales; Debaryomycetaceae
Description: partial large subunit ribosomal RNA
Rfam family: Eukaryotic large subunit ribosomal RNA
Source: RNAcentral
CCUGGCAAGAUGCGUUAGCUAGCGGCGAGUGAGCGGCAAAAGCUCAAAUUUGAAAUCUGGCUCUUUCAGAGUCCGAGUUGUAAUUUGAAGAAGGAAUCUGGGGGUGUGCCUCUUGUAUAUUCUUCUGAGAACAAAAUGUCACAGGGGGUGAGAAUCCCGUGGGGAGGGAUGAUCCAGGCCUAUGUAAAGUUCCUUAGAAGAGUCGAGUUGUUUGGGAAUGCAGCUAUAAGGGGGUGGUAAAUUCCAUCUAAAGCUAAAUAUUGGCGAGAGACCGAUAGCCAACAAGUACAGUGAUGGAAAGAUGAAAAGAACUAUGAAAAGAGAAAAAAAAGUACGUGAAAUUAAAAAAGGGAAGGGCGAUCGAUCAGACUUGGUAUUUCCUUUGGCUCUUUUCGGGGGGGCCUCUACCAUUUAUCGGGCCCGCAUCAGUUGGGCGGUAGGAGAAAAUCCAGGAAUAUGGCACGGCUCGGUAAGUGUUAUAGCCUUUGUGGAUACUGCCAGCCUAGACUUGAGGACUGCGGGUAUUCAUAUGCUGCUGCUAGUCUUGGCA